UACGAAGGGGGCUAGCGUUGUUCGGAAUCACUGGGCUUAAAGGGCGCGUAGGCGGGCUGUCAAGUCUGGGGUGAAAUCCCGCGGCUCAACCGUGGAACUGCCUUAGAUACUGACGGCCUCGAGGGAGGUAGGGGCGAGCGGAACUGUGAGUGGAGCGGUGAAAUGCGUUGAUAUUCACAGGAACUCCGGUGGCGAAGGCGGCUCGCUGGACCUUUUCUGACGCUGAGGCGCGAAAGCUAGGGGAGCAAACGGG
This 253-nucleotide ribosomal RNA is filed under the name uncultured bacterium. RNAcentral describes it as "partial 16S ribosomal RNA". It matches the Rfam family "Bacterial small subunit ribosomal RNA", at positions 524 to 776 of the family's 1533-position model. The record is from RNAcentral.